UACGAAGGGGGCUAGCGUUGUUCGGAAUUACUGGGCGUAAAGCGCACGUAGGCGGACUACUAAGUCAGGGGUGAAAUCCCGGGGCUCAACCCCGGAACUGCCUUUGAUACUGAUAGUCUCGAGUCCGGAAGAGGUGAGUGGAAUUCCUAGUGUAGAGGUGAAAUUCGUAGAUAUUAGGAAGAACACCAGUGGCGAAGGCGGCUCACUGGCCCGGUACUGACGCUGAGGCGCGAAAGCGUGGGGAGCAAACAGG
RNAcentral lists this ribosomal RNA (253 nucleotides) under uncultured bacterium. Its description in RNAcentral is "partial 16S ribosomal RNA". It matches the Rfam family "Bacterial small subunit ribosomal RNA", at positions 524 to 776 of the family's 1533-position model. The record is from RNAcentral.